Molecule: long non-coding RNA, 303 nt
Organism: Ctenopharyngodon idella (grass carp)
Lineage: Eukaryota; Metazoa; Chordata; Actinopteri; Cypriniformes; Xenocyprididae
Exons: 3
Source: RefSeq, a predicted model, not a curated record
UAAUGAUGGUUCAGUGACUGUACUAACCAUCAAAUUAAUGGAAUAACAAUCGCAAAACAUGAAGAGUUUCUUUUAGGUUGAGCUCAUGUACUUCUAUUACUCUUUUUAAAUGGAGGUAAACUGAUUAGUUUCUCUUUAUCUUUCCUCUUCUCCCAGUACAACAUUGGAAGAUAUAUCAUAUAGCAAUUGUAGUAUCACUUUGUGGAGUUGUAGCUGCUCUCAUCAUUGUGUUACUAACCUGCUGUAUGAUCAGGAAGAAACUGCAGUCCAAGUCCUCCACAAACAAUUCUGAUAGCAUGAGUG